CAGUAGCCGCGGUAAUACGAAGGGGGCUAGCGUUACUCGGAAUUACUGGGCGUAAAGGGCGCGUAGGCGGCACGAUUAGUCAGGCGUGAAAUUCCUGGGCUCAACCUGGGGACAGCGCUUGGUACGGUCGAGCUAGAGGAUGGAAGAGGGUUGUGGAAUUCCCAGUGUAGAGGUGAAAUUCGUAGAUAUUGGGAAGAACACCGGUGACGAAGGCGGCAACCUGGUCCAUUACUGACGCUGAGGCGCGACAGCGUGGGGAGCGAACAGGAUUAGAUACCCCUGUAGUCCCUGUCUCUUAUAC
This 301-nucleotide ribosomal RNA is filed under the name uncultured bacterium. Its description in RNAcentral is "partial 16S ribosomal RNA". It matches the Rfam family "Bacterial small subunit ribosomal RNA", at positions 509 to 807 of the family's 1533-position model. The record is from RNAcentral.